This 497-nucleotide ribosomal RNA is filed under the name uncultured bacterium. RNAcentral's name for it is "partial 16S ribosomal RNA". It matches the Rfam family "Bacterial small subunit ribosomal RNA", at positions 38 to 507 of the family's 1533-position model. The record is from RNAcentral.
GGGGGGGGGGGGGGGGUGGGGGGGGGGGGGGGGGUGGGGGGGGCGGGGGGGGGGCUGGGUCCUCUGGCGGGAGCGGGGGGCGGGUGGGUGGCACGGGGCGGACCUGCGUAUGAGACUGUGGUGGCUUGUGGGAACCUGGGCGCAUACCGGAGCAUAGAUUGCAGCGCAUGGGUGACUAGGGCAGGACGGUUUUGCUGUCACUUAUAGAUGUAUCCUCGCCGACUUAGCUAGUUGGUAAUGUGACGGCUUACCAAGGCAACGAUGCGUAGCCGAACUGAGAGGGUGAUCGGCCACACUAGAACUGAGACACGGUCCAGACUCCUAAGGGAGGCAGCAGUAGGGAAUCUUCCGCAAUGGGCGAAAGCCUGACGGAGCAACGCCGCGUGAGUGAUGAAGGUCUUCGGAUCGUAAAACUCUGUUAUUAGGGAAGAACAAAUGUGUAAGUAACUAUGCACGUCUUGACGGUUCCUAAUCAGAAAGCCACGGCUAACUACGUG